RNAcentral lists this long non-coding RNA (1007 nucleotides) under Brassica napus (rape). RNAcentral's name for it is "long non-coding RNA (BNAP_LNC004925)". The record is from RNAcentral. Lineage: Eukaryota; Viridiplantae; Streptophyta; Magnoliopsida; Brassicales; Brassicaceae.
GUUGAUAUAAAAGAUGAUGGAUGAUGUUGUUGUUGGAGUUGGUGUGAAUAUUAGCGGGAGUUGAGAUGGUUGUAAUGUUGCAGGUUCUUUUUUUGUGUUAGGUUACUUGUCUAAUUUGAAUUAUUCCCGUGCAACAAAUUAAUGUGAAAUAUAUACUAGAAAAGAAUACUCGAAUACAAAUUUAGAUAAGUUGACCAGUUUGAUCAAAAAGAAAAAAAGAUAAGUUGACCAAAUGGUUUAGAUCAUCAUAUUGAAAAUCAAUUAAUUUCUCUUAUUUUUCUGCCUUUUCUUCACUUUGUCAGAAUAGUUUAGGCGUUGGUAUAAGUGAAUCAGUUAUUUAAGAAAGAACAUAACUUAAAUUAAUUAACCUUUAAAUUCACCUCUCCUUCUAAUACCAGUCAAAAGGCCACGUGGAUAAUUAACUAAAAAAUAUUAAAUUUAUUUUAAAAAAUACCUAAAAAAAGAAUAAUGCUAAUUUUAAUAACGUUGACGCCGCCUGCUAAACCGUAAACUCGAAAUCUUAAAUUUCCAAUUCUAAACCGUAAAUCUUAAACCCAAACCUUAUACCCUAAACCCAAAUCCUAGACCCUAAACCCAAACCGUAUACUCUAAACCCAAAUCCUAAACUCUAAAUUCAAACCGUAAACUUUAAAUCCAAACCAUAUACUCUAAACCAAAUCCUAGACCCUAAACCCAAACUGUAUACCCUAAAUCUAAAUCUUAAACUUAAAACCUAAACUGUAAAUCCUAAACGCAAACCCUAAACUUAGACGCUAUAAGAUUUGAAUUUAAGGUCUACGAUUUAGGUUUAGGAUAUAUGGUUUGAGUUUAGGGUUUAUGGUUUGGGUUUAGGGUAUACAGUUUGGGUUUACGGUAUACAAUUUGAGUUUAGGGUCUAGGAUUUGAGUUUAUGGUAUAAAAUAUAUGAUUUAAGGUUUAGGUUUAGAAUUUAAGAUUUAGGUUUUAUGGUUUAGCUUACGACGUCAUAACGUUAAAAUUGGCGUUAU